GUGCAGCAGGCGAGAAUUUUUCUCAAUGGGGGAAACCCUGAAGGAGCGACGCCGCGUGGAGGAUGAAGGCUUUCGGGUUGUAACUCCUGUCAUUUGAGAACAAGUGGGACGCAGUAACUACGCGUCCCUUGAUAGUAUCAGAAGAGGAAGAGACGGCUAACUCUGUGCCAGCAGCCGCGGUAAUACAGAGGUCUCAAGCGUUGUUCGGAUUCAUUGGGCGUAAAGGGUGCGUAGGUGGCGCGCUAAGUCAGGUGUAGAAAUCUCGGGGCUUAACUCCGAAACUGCAUUUGAUACUGGCGUGCUUGAGGACUGGAGAGGAGACUGGAAUUCAUGGUGUAGCAGUGAAAUGCGUAGAGAUCAUGAGGAAGACCAGUGGCGAAGGCGGGUCUCUGGACAGUUCCUGACACUGAGGCACGAAGGCCAGGGGAGCAAACGGGAUUAGAUACCCCUGUA
This 453-nucleotide ribosomal RNA is filed under the name uncultured organism. RNAcentral describes it as "bacterial SSU rRNA". It matches the Rfam family "Bacterial small subunit ribosomal RNA", at positions 346 to 792 of the family's 1533-position model. The record is from RNAcentral.